AGUGGCGGACGGGUGAGUAACGCGUGAGAAUCUGCCUUGGGGUCGGGGACAACCACUGGAAACGGUGGCUAAUACCGGAUACGCCUUCGGGUAAAAGAUUUAUUGCCCUAAGAGGAGCUCGCGUCUGAUUAGCUAGUUGGUGAGGUAAGAGCUCACCAAGGCAGCGAUCAGUAGCUGGUCUGAGAGGACGAUCAGCCACACUGGGACUGAGACACGGCCCAGACUCCUACGGGAGGCAGCAGUGGGGAAUUUUCCGCAAUGGGCGAAAGCCUGACGGAGCAAGACCGCGUGAGGGCAAGGCUCUUGGGUUGUAAACCUCUUUUCUCAGGGAAGAAGCUCUGACGGUACCUGAGGAAUCAGCCUCGGCUAACUCCGUGCCAGCAGCCGCGGUAAUACGGAGGAGGCAAGCGUUAUCCGGAAUUAUUGGGCGUAAAGCGUCCGCAGGUUGCGAUUCAAGUCUGCUGUCAAAGCACGGGGCUUAACUCCGUAAAGGCAGUGGAAACUGAAUAGCUAGAGUGCCGUAGGGGUAGAGGGAAUUCCCGGUGUAGCGGUGAAAUGCGUAGAGAUCGGGAAGAACAUCGGUGGCGAAAGCGCUCUACUGGACGGCAACUGACACUCAGGGACGAAAGCUAGGGGAGCGAAUGGGAUUAGAUACCCC
This 658-nucleotide ribosomal RNA is filed under the name uncultured bacterium. RNAcentral describes it as "bacterial SSU rRNA". It matches the Rfam family "Bacterial small subunit ribosomal RNA", at positions 94 to 788 of the family's 1533-position model. The record is from RNAcentral.